This 354-nucleotide transfer-messenger RNA is filed under the name Longimicrobiales. RNAcentral's name for it is "UBA1138 sp002501085 Standard tmRNA". It matches the Rfam family "transfer-messenger RNA". From Rfam's summary of the family: Bacterial tmRNA, also known as 10Sa RNA or SsrA, is named for its dual tRNA and mRNA-like properties. Its role is to liberate the mRNA from a stalled ribosome. The record is from RNAcentral. Lineage: Bacteria; Pseudomonadati; Gemmatimonadota; Longimicrobiia. RNAcentral also lists the same sequence under 1 other name.
GGGGGCGUCACGGUUUCGACGUGUUUGGUGAACGUGGAGUUGCGUGCUGAGGUCUCGAUCCUCAUGAAUCUUCGAGAACAUUUUUAGCUGCCAACGAUAAUCUGGCGCUGGCUGCGUAAGCUUACUUACGUGCCCGUCUCUUUAACUGCCUGCCCGAGGCAGGUUCAGAGGCGACGAUAAGUCGGGCUGGUUCCCAGGCUCCGCCGUCGAGUCAGGGGAUGAGACAUUAGACGGCUGGCUAAGGGUUUGGUUGAUCGCUGACCACCCGAAGUGAGAUUACCCAGCGAUCUACGCACGUAGAAGCUUUGCCGGAGCCAUAUGCGGACGGGGGUUCGACUCCCCCCGCCUCCAUUU